Molecule: microRNA precursor, 59 nt
Filed under: Eptatretus burgeri (inshore hagfish)
Lineage: Eukaryota; Metazoa; Chordata; Myxini; Myxiniformes; Myxinidae
Description: Ebu-Mir-92-P1e_pre stem-loop
Source: RNAcentral
AGGCCUGGAUUGGCUGCAAUGCAUGUGUGUUCAUUUGUAUUGCACUUGUCCCGGCCUCU